Molecule: unclassified non-coding RNA, 3081 nt
Filed under: Leishmania donovani
Lineage: Eukaryota; Euglenozoa; Kinetoplastea; Trypanosomatida; Trypanosomatidae
Description: gene:LdHU3.21.2130(CDS-product:hypothetical_prote in_conserved)
Source: RNAcentral
UCCCAACGGAAACCACCUGCGCACUUACACGCACACAGCGAUACACCACCACUACUCUCCCCCAACAUACCCGUCCUUAUUGCUCAGACGUGUGCUACACGUUGAGAAAGAAGUAUCGAGGCUGAAAGAGGUGUACCGACUAGAGAAGAGUGAGGGCACGCUACCAGUCUCGUUUCGCUCUGGGCCUGAAUGUGAGCGUGGGCGCGCACCUGCCAUCUUGCCGCAUCGCCUCUCUGCGUGCACGUGCGGGACUUUUGCCCCUGCGCCCCCCCCCACUCCCUCACCGCACUCUUCCCUCCCUUCGGCGCUUUCUUUACUCAAUACAACAUCACGGUAACCACGCGCAAGCGUGAUCUUGUACGCCUCGUUUUCCUUUUUCUUUGUUGCUGUGCUUGGUCUUGUUGUGUCUGCGUCUCUUCACGACACGCGCACACUUAGAUUCGUCUCCCUUCUCCCCCCUCUCUCGUUGUCUUCUGCUGGCGUGUGUGUGCGAGCGCGUUUGUUGCUGUGCCUGUAUUCCGUCUCUUUCCUCACUGCCCUGGGGCCCGACCUCUGUCUGGCGUUACCGCGAGAGAGGGAGAAGGAGAGAGAGAGACGGAGAGAGGUUGCCUCCGACAGCGACAGCGGAAAAGCGUGAAGCAGGCUCCUACACGCACGCACCUGGGAAGCUGACAAAAAACUCAAAUAGCCCACCUUUUUGUUUCUGUGUUCAGGCGAGAUGCACAUCUACAGCAAAGACCAGCAGGCGUUUCACCUGCAGCGCACCCCGGCAGAGAAGUGGUGGUCGCGCGCGAACACGUUCAUUGUGGUUGUGCAGCUGGCGUGCUUUCUCUCCGUCGUCAUCCGCACCAUCGCGGGCGCAUCGAACUCGAUGUCGAACAGCUUCUUCACCAACUCGGUUCUCUCGCUCAAGGCGCCGUACAUUGUAGAUGGCUGCGUGUACAACGUGACCCGGCGCCACGCCUUCUUCAACAAUGUGCAGUACUCGCUGAGCAGAGAUAACGUCGGCUACUUUGUGAGUCGUGCUGUGCUGAACAUCCGCUACCUGAUUGCCCUCGCCGCCGCGCACGUGGUCGUGAGUGCGACGAACCGACUGUGGUUCGAGACGAACACACACGAAAUCCGUUAUCACUUCGUGGUCUUCCGCAAGGACAUGAUUACGACCUGGGAGAUCCUGCUGAUGGUGCUUAGUUUUGUCGUGACUCUCGGUAUUACGGAGGAAAACCGAAUCAUGACCGACUACAUCACCCACUGCGCCGCCAACAGGUCCACCAGCGGCCACUUUUACAACUCGGUACAACCGUACACAGAGCUCAUCGUGUCGUACAUCAUAUCCAUCUCUGCCACAGUGAUCAACGGGGCGUUUGCGGUUUGGAACUUGUCGAAGAAGAACCCGCUCGACCUCAUGCUGCGUGAGGCGAAGCGGCAGCAGGAAGAGUGGAGGCAGGCGAUGGAGCAGUACUACGGGCUGGGCAACUCGGACGCCACCACCGCCGCGCAGUCACAGGAACACGCCGGCGGCACACAGCCACAGGUAAUCUACGCCGACAACCGCGCCACCACCGUCAGCCCCAACGCAGACGCAGCAGCCGCGCUCCCUGUGAACGGCAACGAGUUAGUCAAGGCGGGUGAGGCAGACCCGCUACAGCGUCACCGCCACGGCCAUCACCACUCCACUCGCAAGGGACUCGGCCACCGCUUAAGUGCCAUCUCCUCAUCGCUGCGGCGGCGCUCGCACUCCGAGGAUGAAAUGAAGCUGAACGCGCCACAGCCGCCGCCGCAGUUCACCCCGUUGCCUCCUCAAAAGCAAGCGCACCUCCAGCAGCAGCAGCCGCACUUUGGCCCGAGCGUCAGCCGCCCGCUAACGCCGACCUUGAACGAAGAGUAUGACCAGGUGGAAAUGCCAGAGGUGCGGCAGCAGGGAGUGGGUGAAGGUGCCCUCGGUGACCGUGUAGGACCUACGGCUGAGAUGAUGGGCGGCCCCGGCGCCGUUAUAGAGUCCUCCAACUCCGGACGGUACGACUUGCACGAGGUUGAUGACGACGAGGACGAUGAGCGCGGUGCUGUCAUGGAGGCUGACAUCAAGAACAGCUCCCUGCGCGGUGGCCAGGCUUCCUAUAGCGUCGUAGGUGGUGCUGGCGGUGUGUCCGGCGGUCUUCGUGUCCGCGGCAUGAGUGGCUCGGAAGCGUCGACGGCGCUUGUGGCUGCCCACCUCGCCACCACACCGCCACCACCGCCCGUGCACAGCGGUGAUCGUCGGCAGCAGGCGCAGAUGAGCCGAGGCCAGAUGCUGGCACCGCCGUCUCCACUGCAGGGCGGGGCUGAGACGACAGACGACACAGUGCACCUGUAGUGUGGCCCGUAGGGGCAGAAGAGGAAAGGGUGGAAAGGUACGAGGAGAGGGGGGAGGGUGGCCGCGACAUCAGCAGGGGAUCGCACUCUGGGUAGGUGGCUUCGAUAGAUUUAGAGCAUCGUUCAUAGUGCCGAUGUGUUAGAGUAAACUGCUUGACGAUCGGGGUGUGCGUGUGCGUGCAUGUGUCUGUGUGUGUGUUUGCUGUCCCGUCAAGGCGCUGUACUUGCUCCAUGGAUGGUUCCCGCCCUCCUCCUCCUCUUCCUUUCUUUUUUCUGCCUCGCGCUACGACUCCCUGUGGAUUUGCGUAUGCCCCGCUUGCUGGUCCUCGUAUUUUUACCGGCAAUCGCACGGUGCGGUGGAUGAUGGGCGCUUUCCAGUGUUGUGUUGUGCUGGUGUAUGUGUGUAUGCUUCGCAGCAACUCCCGGCCGCCUGCCGCGGCACGGUCGCAAAGGCCGUGAUGCAUCGCCGUGCAUCCCUCUCCUCCUUCCGGAUCAGCCCUCGAGCUUGCUUUAUCGGUCUCUCUGAAGCGCGGUGCGUUGCGACGAGGUGUGAGCAACAGCCUUCCUCCGCCUCCUCUGGUGAUGCUGUGCGCAUGGCGAUGGCGAGUGGCAGUCUCUGCCCCCCCACCUUCUUGCUUGCCGCCUUCUUCAUGACGUCCCACACCGUCGCCCUCACUGGCGGGCGCAUGCCCAUUGUGUCGUUGCAUUCGACGGCGAUCCGCGUGCAAG